This 433-nucleotide ribosomal RNA is filed under the name uncultured bacterium. RNAcentral describes it as "partial 16S ribosomal RNA". It matches the Rfam family "Bacterial small subunit ribosomal RNA", at positions 29 to 507 of the family's 1533-position model. The record is from RNAcentral.
AACGAACGCUGGCGGCAGGCCUAACACAUGCAAGUCGAGCGCGCCCUCCGGGGUUAGCGGCGGACGGGGGAGUAACGCGUGGGAACGUGCCCUUUUCUACGGAAUAGCCGCGGGAAACUGAGAGUAAUACCGUAUACGCCCUUUGGGGGUAAGAUUUAUCGGAAAAGGAUCGGCCCGCGUUGGAUUCGGUAGUUGGUGGGGUAAUGGCCUACCAAGCGGACGAUCCAUAGCUGGUUGGUGAGGAUGGUCAGCCGCACUGGGAAUGAGACACGGACCAGAAUGCUACGGGAGGGAGCAGUGGGGAAUCUUAGACAAUGGGGGCAACUGUGAUAUAGCCGUGCCGGGUGAGUGAUGAAGGCGUUAGGGUUGUAAAGCUCUUUCAGCUGGGAAGAUAAUGACGGUACCAGCAGAAGAAGCACCGGCUAACUACGUG